GACAGAGGGUGCAAACGUUGUUCGGAAUCACUGGGCAUAAAGCGCACGUAGGCGGUCCGUUAAGUCAUGUGUGAAAGCCCCCGGCUCAACCGGGGAAUUGCACAUGAUACUGGCGGGCUCGAGGAUGGCAGGGGUGAGCGGAACUCCAGGUGGAGCGGUGAAAUGCGUAGAUAUCUGGAGGAACACCGGUGGCGAAAGCGGCUCACUGGACCAUAUCUGACGCUGAGGUGCGAAAGCUAGGGUAGCAAACGGG
This 253-nucleotide ribosomal RNA is filed under the name uncultured bacterium. Its description in RNAcentral is "partial 16S ribosomal RNA". It matches the Rfam family "Bacterial small subunit ribosomal RNA", at positions 524 to 776 of the family's 1533-position model. The record is from RNAcentral.